CUAUUCACCACAGUCCCCUCCCUUACAUGAGCAGGGAGGUGUUAAGCAAAGAAAGAAACCUUCUUCAAAGAAACCCUCAGUUUAAACAGGAGGGUGUGAUGGGCAAUUGUGGGUAUAAUACACAUUGCUACAUUGUAUUUCUUUAAACUGCAACUGUUUCUUUAACUAAUAACCUUUUACCUAUUUACAGUACACAACAUGUUUACUCCAUCUUGUCUUAAUUUAAUGCAAUAACAAUUCAAGGCUUUGCCUAUGUCAUCCUAACGUCUAGUCCAAAUAAAGAUUAAAGAUGUCUAGGUUAUGACAUUAGACUUAUUUUUUAUAUAUGACCUUCUCUUAACCCUAAAGUGUAUGUCAACCUAACUUCUAGUCCAAAUACAGAUUAAAGAUGUCUAGGUUAUGACAUUAGACUGAUAAGGGUGUUUUUCUUUUAUUUUUAUAUAUGAACUGCUUUUAACCCUAAGAUGAAUUAACCCAUACAUUACCAGUAGUAAUUAGAAAUGCUAUACUAUAUAUACAUGCAUGAUCAAUGCUAGAUAGAGACAUACUGACCGACUCUGGAGGUGACAUACUGAGAGAUUACCUGUAUAAUCAGGAGGGUAUGUUAUACUAAUUAUAUUGCAAGCAUUUAUUCAUUUAAUCUUAUAUACUCUGCUUUAUGAUAUAUUAAUGGAUCUUUAUUCAUUUAUUCAAUAAACUAUAUUAAUAAG
This 710-nucleotide long non-coding RNA is filed under the name Pelobates cultripes (western spadefoot toad). The record is from RNAcentral. Lineage: Eukaryota; Metazoa; Chordata; Amphibia; Anura; Pelobatidae.